UAGCGACAGGCUUAACACAUGCAAGUCGAGGGGCAGCAUAAAAGUAGCAAUACUUGGUGGCGACCGGCGCACGGGUGAGUAACGCGUAUGCAACCUACCUAUCAGAGGGGAAUAACCCGGCGAAAGUCGGACUAAUACCGCAUAAAACAGGGACACCGCAUGGUGAUAUUUGUUAAAGAAAUUCGCUGAUAGAUGGGCAUGCGUUCCAUUAGGUAGUUGGUGAGGUAACGGCUCACCAAGCCGACGAUGGAUAGGGGAACUGAGAGGUUGGUCCCCCACACUGGUACUGAGACACGGACCAGACUCCUACGGGAGGCAGCAGUGAGGAAUAUUGGUCAAUGGGCGAGAGCCUGAACCAGCCAAGUCGCGUGAAGGAAAAGAAGGAUCUAUGGUUCGUAAACUUCUUUUGCAGGGGAAUAAAGUGCAGGACGUGUCCUGUUUUGUAUGUACCCUGAGAAUAAGGAUCGGCUAACUCCGUGCCAGCAGCUGC
This 490-nucleotide ribosomal RNA is filed under the name uncultured bacterium. RNAcentral describes it as "bacterial SSU rRNA". It matches the Rfam family "Bacterial small subunit ribosomal RNA", at positions 37 to 518 of the family's 1533-position model. The record is from RNAcentral.